UAUAAAGCAGCGCCCAGUGAAGGGAGAGUUUAUCAAGAACCAGGCACAAGGACAGGAGCACACACCAUGAUUUCACACAUCCAGCUGAUCUGGCCCCUGACAUUCUGUGUCGCAGGUAUCAGUGGGGACAUCACCAUGACCCAGUCUCCCCCGGUGCUGACAGUGGGACUGGGCCACACUGCAACCAUCACCUGUACGGCCAGUCAAAGCAUUAGCAGCUACCUUGCUUGGUACCAGCAGCGAGAAGGUCAGAAACCCUCUCUCCUGAUCUAU
Molecule: non-coding RNA, 273 nt
Organism: Chiloscyllium plagiosum (whitespotted bambooshark)
Lineage: Eukaryota; Metazoa; Chordata; Chondrichthyes; Orectolobiformes; Hemiscylliidae
Source: RefSeq, a predicted model, not a curated record